This 121-nucleotide ribosomal RNA is filed under the name Tursiops truncatus (common bottlenose dolphin). Lineage: Eukaryota; Metazoa; Chordata; Mammalia; Artiodactyla; Delphinidae. The record is from RNAcentral.
GUCUACGGCCAUACCACCCUGAACGCGCCCGAUCUCGUCUGAUCUCGGAAGCUAAGCAGGGUCGGGCCUGGUUAGUACUUGGAUGGGAGAAUGCGCUUAGAAAUACAAUUCUCAAUAGGCC